AUCACUUCUCAGCCUUUUGGCUAAGAUCAAGUGUAGUAUCUGUUCUUAUUAGUUUAAUAUCUGAUAUGUUCUCUAUUUGGGAACUUAAAACAAAAACUCCAUUUUGGCUUCACAGCCCUCACACUGAUAACUUCCUUAUUGCCAUUUGACAGACAGGGAGAAGGGCU
Molecule: small nuclear RNA, 167 nt
Filed under: Salvator merianae (Argentine black and white tegu)
Lineage: Eukaryota; Metazoa; Chordata; Lepidosauria; Squamata; Teiidae
Description: U2 spliceosomal RNA (ENSSMRG00000009979.1)
Rfam family: U2 spliceosomal RNA (bases 1-120)
About the family: U2 is a small nuclear RNA (snRNA) component of the spliceosome (involved in pre-mRNA splicing).
Source: RNAcentral